UACAGAGGUGGCAAGCGUUGUUCGGAAUUACUGGGCGUAAAGCGCGUGUAGGCGGCUCUUCAAGUCAGGCGUGAAAGCCCCGGGCUCAACCCGGGAAGUGCACUCGAUACUGCCAAGCUAGAGUAUCGGAGAGGUUGGUGGAAUUCUCGGUGUAGAGGUGAAAUUCGUAGAUAUCGAGAGGAACACCGGUGGCGAAGGCGGCCAACUGGACGAAUACUGACGCUGAGACUCGAAAGCGUGGGGAGCAAACAGG
This 253-nucleotide ribosomal RNA is filed under the name uncultured bacterium. Its description in RNAcentral is "partial 16S ribosomal RNA". It matches the Rfam family "Bacterial small subunit ribosomal RNA", at positions 524 to 776 of the family's 1533-position model. The record is from RNAcentral.